This is a non-coding RNA of Ixodes scapularis (black-legged tick), 73 nucleotides long. The record is from Rfam. Lineage: Eukaryota; Metazoa; Arthropoda; Arachnida; Ixodida; Ixodidae.
UCCUGGUUUACUCAGUUGGUAGGGCACUCCACUGGAAAUGGAGUGGUUCCUGUUUCAACCCCAGGACCAGGCG